GAGACAGAGUCACCAUGAACUGCUUGGCCAGUGAGAGGAUCACAGAUAGUGAUGGUGAUGACCUCUUACACUGGUACCAGCAGAAGCCUGGCCAAGCCCCCAGGCUCCUCAUCUACUGGGCCACCAGGCUGGAGUCUGGAGUACCUGCCCGGUUCAGUGGCAGUAGAUCAGGGACAGAUUUCACUCUCACCAUCAGUAGUGUGGAAGCUGAGGAUGCUGCAGUCUAUUACUGUCAGCAAGGUCUUAAGGUUCCUCCCACAGUGAUAUAUUCUCGAACAAAAACCUUCCCAGGCUCAGGCCUGGUGAUCAAGGAGGCUACAGUGCCCCAGAUACUUCUCCUUCCCCAGAACCUGCU
This is a non-coding RNA of Vombatus ursinus (common wombat), 355 nucleotides long. The record is from the annotation of a RefSeq genome assembly. Lineage: Eukaryota; Metazoa; Chordata; Mammalia; Diprotodontia; Vombatidae.